Long non-coding RNA from Aethina tumida (small hive beetle), 376 nucleotides. RefSeq lists it as uncharacterized. The transcript has 2 exons. NCBI's taxonomy places the organism in Eukaryota, Metazoa, Arthropoda, Insecta, Coleoptera, Nitidulidae. The record is from RefSeq and is a predicted model, not a curated record.
AGCAUACGUGAUUUGAGACCAAAUCAAGUUGGCUAAAAUAAAUAGUUGAAUAAUCAUCAUUCAACUUUUUUUGUUUACCUAUUCGCUUUAGAAACGAUGUUUUAAUCAGUUUAUUCGGUAUCUGCGGACAAAAAUAAUAUGCAUUGUAAAGGGUAAAAAACUUAGCCUAAGUACUAUAACUCCAACUCUCCUAAGGGGGAGUUGAAGUUACGGUCUUCUUCGAGAACCUGUUAUGUGAAAUUCAAUAGGUUCUAGCUAAGAGUAAUUAGAAAACGGAUAUUUGUGACAUUUCAUAUCUUCAUCUUAUAAACCAAUGGUAUUAGAAUUAGGUGACAUUGUAUAAUCAAGAAAAAUAUAGUUAUUUUUGGUAACUGUA